RNAcentral lists this ribosomal RNA (337 nucleotides) under Azilia guatemalensis. RNAcentral describes it as "partial 12S ribosomal RNA". The record is from RNAcentral. Lineage: Eukaryota; Metazoa; Arthropoda; Arachnida; Araneae; Tetragnathidae.
AUACCCUAUUAUAAAUAAUAAUAAUAAGGUAGUACUUUUAAGGAAACCUUAAUGAACUGGCGGCAUUUUAUCUAAUCAGAGGAAUAUGUCCGAUAAUCGACUCUACACGAUAAAUUUCACUAGAGCCCACAUUUUAUAUACCGCCGUCUCUUGACCAAAUUUAAAACUUUGGACAAAAUAAUAUUAUAAGAAGUUAGGUAAAGGUGUAGACUAAGCUAAAGACAAGAUGUGUUACACUUAAUUUAAUUAAAGGAAAGCAUACAAAAAUACGCUAAGAAACAGGAUCUAAAAGUAAAUUAAUUCUAAUAAAUUUAAAUGAAUCAGUUAACAAAUGUGC